CUCUCCACCAUCAAGUGAAGUUAUAAAAGAUACUUAAAGGAGGAAAUAAAAUAAGGUUUUGAAGAGGAUUUCAAGCAUUCAAUUCAGCCCUACGCAAAAAGCUCUCUCGAAGUUAAGAAGCUUUCAUUUCAAGUUCACCAACCCCUCAAGAGCUCAUUCAAGUCUUCAACCACCUUGAGAGAAAUCAGAAAAGCUUCCUUCUUAUUGUGUAAAGUGUAUUUAAAAUUUUAUUUGCUCAUUAAAGG
RNAcentral lists this long non-coding RNA (245 nucleotides) under Elaeis guineensis (African oil palm). RNAcentral's name for it is "long non-coding RNA (EGUI_LNC067452)". The record is from RNAcentral. Lineage: Eukaryota; Viridiplantae; Streptophyta; Magnoliopsida; Arecales; Arecaceae.